RNA transcript from Balaenoptera ricei (Rice's whale), 7819 nucleotides. It is a transcript of the gene named eukaryotic elongation factor, selenocysteine-tRNA specific, with no coding region annotated. NCBI's taxonomy places the organism in Eukaryota, Metazoa, Chordata, Mammalia, Artiodactyla, Balaenopteridae. The record is from RefSeq and is a predicted model, not a curated record. The transcript has 13 exons.
CAGCGGCGGCAUGGCGGGCCGGCGGGUGAACGUGAACGUGGGCGUCCUGGGCCACAUCGACAGCGGCAAGACGGCUCUGGCGCGAGCGCUUAGCACCACGGCCUCCACCGCCGCCUUCGACAAGCAGCCGCAGAGCCGCGAGCGCGGCAUCACGCUCGACCUGGGCUUCUCGUGCUUCUCGGUGCCGCUGCCCGCGCACCUGCGGCCGGCGCCGCUGGGGGCCGAGCCCGAGCCCGAGCCCGGGGCCGAGCCGCGGCUGCAGGUCACGCUGGUCGACUGUCCCGGGCACGCCUCCCUCAUCCGGACCAUCAUCGGCGGGGCCCAGAUCAUCGAUCUGAUGAUGCUGGUCAUUGACGUGACCAAGGGGAUGCAGACCCAGUCGGCUGAGUGCCUUGUGAUUGGGCAGAUCGCCUGCCAGAAGCUGGUCGUGGUGCUGAACAAGACAGACCUCCUACCCGAAGGGAAGAGACAGGCGGCGAUUGAUAAGAUGACCAAGAAGAUGCAGAAGACCCUAGAGAACACCAAGUUCCGAGGUGCACCCAUCAUACCCGUGGCGGCCAGGCCUGGGGGACCGGACGCCCCUGAAACGGAAGCUCCACAGGGCAUCCCAGAGCUCAUUGAGCUCCUGACGUCCCAGAUUUCCAUCCCAAGGAGAGACCCCUCGGGACCGUUCCUCAUGUCUGUGGACCACUGCUUCUCCAUCAAAGGCCAAGGCACUGUGAUGACAGGGACCAUCCUCUCAGGCUCCGUCAGCCUCGGUGACAGUGUGGAGAUCCCUACCCUCAAGGUGGUGAGGAAGGUGAAGUCCAUGCAGAUGUUCCACACACCCGUCACGUCUGCUGUGCAGGGGGACCGGCUGGGCAUCUGCGUCACCCAGUUCGACCCCAAGCUGCUGGAGCGUGGCCUGGUGUGCGCCCCCGAGUCCCUGCACACGGUCCAUGCAGCCCUCGUCUCCGUGGAGAAGAUCCCGUAUUUCCGGGGAUCCCUGCAGACCAAGGCCAAGUUCCACAUCACCGUGGGCCACGAGACGGUCAUGGGCCGGGUGAUGUUCUUCAGCCCCGCCCCCGACAGCUUCGACCAUGAGCCCGUGCUGGACUCCUUCGACUUCUCCCAGGAGUACCUCUUCCAGGAGCAGUACCUGUGCCCGGGCUCGGUGCCGGCCGAGACGGACCGUGGUGAGGCCGACAGCAGGGUGGGCCAGGCCUCCGAAGGCCGCUGCCCCCGGCAGCAGUGGGCCCUCGUGGAGUUCGAGAAGCCCGUCACCUGCCCGCGGCUGUGCCUGGUGAUUGGCUCCAGGCUGGACGCGGACAUCCACGCCAACACGUGCCGGCUGGCCUUCCACGGCGUCCUGCUCCACGGGCUGGAAGAUAAGAACUACGCCGAGAGCGCCCUGCCCACGCUGCGAGUGUACAAGCUGAAGCACAAGCACGGCAUCGUGGAGCGGGUGAUGGACGACUACAGUGUGAUCGGCCGCUCCCUGUUCAAAAAGGAGACCAACAUCCAGCUCUUCGUGGGGCUCAAGGUGCACCUGUCCACUGGGGAGCUGGGGGUCAUUGCCAGCGCCUUCGGCCAGAGUGGCAAGUUCAAGGUCCACGUCCCUGGGCGUUCCUGCCAUGUGUGACCUUGGGCUGCGCAACCUUGGGCGGCUGACCUCAGUUUUCCUCAUCUGGAAGUGGGAACAUCGCGACACCUACCCCUCCAGGGCCGUCUGAGGAGCGCGUAAAGCCAGGCACGUUGGGGACACGCGUGACAGAGGCUCCCAUGAAGGGGAAGCAGUGUCCUGAUGUGAUGGGUCAGGGCAAUUUUUACAAAUGGAGAUGAGACCCUCUUCCUGGGUGCCUCCUGGUUCUCCCCAGCGACCCCCCUCCAGUGCCCAAGUUUUGACUGGCAGACCUAGGAGGUUGGUGGGAGAGGGGUGUCAGUGUCAGUCCCAGCACAGACUCAACCUUGCCUGUUACAGGAGACGGUGGGGGAGGGGAGGGGAGACCAGCAGCCCAGCACCUCCACCCCAGGCCCUGGCCCUCUGGCUCAGGCAAGCUGGAGAGACCAGUGGAAGGUGGAGGGUUUAUCUCACACACCCCGCCAGGGAGGGGCCUUUAUGCCCAGAUCCAGUUUCUGGCAGAACUGGUUGGUCCAGGUGGCCCGAUAGAUGGCCAAGAUAAGGUCCGUGCAGGUUGGCUGGGCCAAGCGGAAGACCCACGCUGGGCUAAGACGGGGGGUGGCCCAGGCCCAGCCUGACUCAAGGGUGGCAUGGGGUCUGGGCCUGUCUUGUCCCAGCUGCUGGCACCUAUUGUGGGCCACACGGGUGCCCUCUCUGGACCCCCUUCCCUGCCUGCAGUGAGAAGUGGCACAGAAAGAGGUGAUCCUGGGCAGGGGUGGUACAGGCCCAAGGUUGCCCAGGCUGGACAUGCUGCGGGUAAGGUUUGUACGGGCACAUGACGAGGUUCCAGAGCCAAGAACCAGGCAGACUGAGGUUGCCCGGGCGUGAGGUUGUUCAGGACCCCACGUUUCAGGUGGGCCCAGGCUUGGUUGUGUGUCAGACCUUCUGGAAGCCCCAGGGCUGGCUGGGCGAGCUCGUCCUCAUGGGCCGAUGGCAUCCUGCUAUCUAUAACGUCACCACGCCCCAAAGAGUCCCUUCAUUAGACCCUUCCACCUGAGAGGUUUGAGUGUCACCUCUCUCCUGCUGGGACCCUGACCAAUAAACCUCUGGGGUCUCACAGCCCUAGGGAGCAGUUGUGGUCACCACACUUUCUAGGGAGGAGCCCCAUGGGGACGGCCAUGGAAGGAGCCCUUAGUCCCCGCAGACAGGACUUCCCUCAUCUCAGCACAGACCUUGGGAAAGGCAGCCCUCGGAUCUGCCUGAAAAAUGGGGUUUGCAUGCAGGAAGUAUUUGAGGGACGUGGUCCCAGGGAACAGGGGCGGGGUAGGGGGCAGGAAGCCGGGCAAGGGGAAAAGCCAGCCAGAGGAGGAGCUGUGGAUCCACGGUCAGUGGGGUACAGACUGCACCGAGGCCAUCUGAGAAACCUCGAGGGACAUGCUGAGAACCGCCCUCCCCAGGGACAAAAGGGGACAUAGCCAUAGGCUCCCGUCCCACCCCAUGGACAAGGUGAGGCUUAUCCACCGGCCUUCAAACUUUAGGGUUCCUGUGCACAAGUGCCCAGCAGGUCCUGCGGGCGUCCUCGCGCUGGGUCAGAGCAGCUCUGGGCAAGAGCGAGCUGGGCCAUCAGCCGGCAUCUGCACAGAUGGGCCGGUCUCCACAGAGCUGUGGCUGGCCUGAGCUCGGCCAGGAGGACUUGAGGUGGGCCGCAGAGCCGUCCAGUACAGUUUAAAAUAGCAUGUAUUCAGGGAAUAUUUGAGGUUCAGUAAGGCCACAGAUCAGGAGAUGGCUGCCGUUGGAAAGGUCUUUUCUAAGCACAGUCCCGGAGGAGGGGGACGCCACGCCACGCCAUGCCACACCAAGCCACGUGGGAAAGCAUGGGGAGGUCAGGAGGCGGGGGGAGGCUGGAACCGGGGAUAGGAGCCUUUGCUGCGGUUUCUGCAGGAGGGCCGGCGAGGCAGGGCGAGCAGGCUGACCACUGGCUGGUUUGAGUAAUUUCAUGGGCUCUGGGAGAGACGGGCUGCCCCAAGUUGCCGGGUACCUGACCCUGGGUGACUCGGGCAGCAGGACAGUAGCCCAAGGGGGAGAACCCGAUAGAGGAGGUGCUGGGGCUGUGCCUUCUGGACUGGUUGCUUUGCAUUUGAAAGUCACGCUCUGGGACCAGUGGGUUACACUCUGCGGGAAUCGGCCGGUCCUGGGAGGGGCAGUCCCUCCAGGGUCAGAGCAUCAAACCCAAGACACGGUUCCUGCAGUCCACCCCUCACCCACCUCAGCUCCGCUCGUGGCCUCUGUGGCCCAGGGUGGCCCAGGGUCCGGUUCAGGGUGGGAGCCGGCCCGGAGCCCUGACAGGCCUUAACUAGGAGUUAGCGGGACAGGCCGCAGCCCCUCCUGCUGCACCUGGUCCCGAAGCCGAAGCCUCCUCCACCACCCUUUCUGGAUUUCCCUCACCUUCGGCCAGCACUUCUGCGGCUCUGGGUUCGCCUGGUGGGGCGACCGGGUCGUCUCCAGGGCUCUGAGACCUUAGUUGCCUUGCCCCUCUCAAGCCGUGGUUGCUGCAACUGCCCCGUUGUCACUGUCACCAGUUCGGAUGUACAAGGAGCAGCCCCAGAGAAUUUCGAGUCCCCGAGACCCUUGUCCCUGGCCCUCUUCUCACAGAGGUCCGAGCCGACCCUCACCGGCGUGGUGUGACUGCACGUUCAUGGGAGAGCUGCUGUGUCCCCCCGCCCACCCCCGAACCAGGACCUCGGAUCUGGCCGAGCCUCAGGUGGUGGGGCAGGGAGCAGGAGUUCUGCAAGGGGGGUGACGUCGAGACGGACGGGCCUCCUUCCUCCGCCCGCUGGCUGUGCUCCGGUUACAGGGCCAGCACCGCAUCCACAGGACUGGACCCCAGCCCUCAGGAUGUCCCAGGACGGCUCCAGGGCUAGGCUGUUCCUUUUUAGAUCAGCUGCUUCUGAGUGAUGUGAACUAGAGUGCGGCCAGCGGGCCUGUGGCUCUGUUCCCGUUGUCACCUCCUUGUGGUCAAAUGGUCCCUGGUCUGAGACAGCAUUGUGCAGGACACGAGGGUCCAGCUACCGUGCUGGACCCUUGUCAUCCUCUCGCCACACGGCUGUCACGUGGUCUUUGCACAGUCUACACCGAUGUCACCCUCCUGCUUCAUACCCUUCUGUGUCACCACUGCUCUUGAGAUCAAGGUGACAGCACCCAUGCCAGACCCCACGCUCCUUGAGCUCUGGUCCACGCCACACUGGCCCUCCCAGGCCCACCCCCCCGCCCCGUGCUCACACGCUUCUCCUGCUGCAGGCACAUUGCACACGCAAGCCCCUCAGCCUGAUGCACCACCCCCCCUCGCCUGCCUGCUCUGGGGCAGCCUCCUCGCACUGUCCCAUCUGGGGCAAUCCGCCUAGAUGCUCUCCCCGCGUCUGGUCUGGCCCCUGUGGCGCCCCUCUGAGCUGCAGUCUUCGUUUCCGUGGUGACUGGUUAAAGCCUCUCUCCCCCUAGACUGUAUUCCCAUUGCAGGUGGGAAUGAUCUUUGCUCGUCACGGUGUUGACAAAACCCACCAUUCUUCCUAUCGCCCAGCGGGCACGCAAAUCCUUCCUGCGUAAGUAAAUGAAGUAUGGCGCGUCUCUGGUGAUGGCAGUGGCAACAGGGUGACAGUGGACGUGGUGGUGGUGGCAGUUGAGGGCGAUGCCGUUGGCGAUGAUGGACCACCUUCCUCCGCACGUGCUGGGCCACUGGACACCUGAGCGGUUCCACUCGAGGGUGGAGCACCGUCAGGGCUGAUCCGUUCCAACGGCAGCAAGCCGAAGAGUCCACCCCUCGAUUCGGAGCUGCCCGGGUUCCCGGCCUUCCCACAGGUGUUGGGAUUUCUUUUUCCUUUGAUCCAGCUGUACCCGUUCAGUAGUGCCCCUCCCGGGUUUAACUCGCAUUAGCUGGGAUUGACUUCUGUCCCUUGUGACCAGAGAACCCUAACUGGUCCGGAAGGGGGUGAGGGGGUGAGCUGAGACGGGGCCCACGCCGCCCCACUCUCCUUGCCAGUUCCUCCUCCUCUCUGGCUUCUGAGUGUCCUUGCAACGUCCUCCAUCUCUGCUGACACCUGGCUGAUCUCGUCCAUUCUCAGGCCUUUAAAUGCCAUUGCAUGUGCUGAUUCAUCUUGAUUUCUCACCGCUGGUCCUGACCUUUCUCCUGAACCAGAGCUCACGGCUGACUGUCGUGCAUGUCACACUCAACAGGCCCCAGCUGAGUUCUUGAUUUCCUCCCGCUCAGUUGUCCCAUCUCAGCGGACAGAGACCUCGGAGAUGACCCAGGCCUGUCCACAGCUCCUUCCCACUCCCUUCAGCAGAGGCCGCUGCCUCAGGGCCUGGGCACUUGCUAAGUUCCCUGCAGGGGACACUCGCCCCAGACCUUCCUCACCUCCUCCCGGGAGAGGGGGCUUGUGAGGGCUGAGCCCAGGGCAGGGCAGAGGGCGCGGAGGGGAAGAAUCCACAGGACGCAGAGUCUGAGAGGGAGGAGUUCUGGGUGAUUCCCUGCACCCUGGGUGGGCAACCGGCUGGCCAGAGGGAACCACCCCUGAGAAGGGGCCCGGGGUGGGGGUCAGACCUGGGGAGGAAGAGGCCAAGUCCACGUUCAGCACGAGGAGUGACCAGCAUCCGUGGGCCAUCCAGGAUGCAGCCCAGCAGAUUCCUGAGCUGCAGCCCAGGGCAGAAGUAAGAUGGGGAGGCCGUGCCAGGCUAUAGUCCUAGGUCUGGGCAGCACCCACCCUCCUGAACCAGCCGGGCCUGCUGGGAGGAGAUCCAGCAGCAAAAUUCGUGGCUGAACUAACGCGAACAGAGACGGUGCCACUGACCGGGCUCACAGAGAAACGCAGACGCACUCAGGGUGGAUGUUUCUGCAAGCCAGCCUCUCCCAGCCGGCCACUGGCAGGCAAUCGAUAGGCCUAAUUAAUAAUUAACUUUUUAAUUAAAUAUCAAUUUAAAACAAGUAUGGGAACCAGUCUCUUGCAAUUAACACCCUUGCUCUGCUUUCCUAAAGGGACUCAGUCGAAGGCCCAGGCUCCGGGACCUCUUGGGUGGGGAGGGCAACCCGGGACCCAGCAGAGUGGGGAAGGGGCCCGGCCCGGCCUGCUCUACCCCGUCCUGGAGCCGCAGGGAUAGAUUUCUCCACCCAGCGGUCACCGCCCGCGCCCUGCCCUCAAGGAGCUGGCAUCUCGAAUGCCGGGCAGAAGAUGCUCAGGAACCUGCGAGCGGCGAGAAGCUGAUUCCCGGGGUCCCAAAGGAAGGAGAAACGGGGCCACAGGAAGACGGCUCCGCUUGGCCUUGACGGUGACGAGUUGGAAGGACGCGCUGGCGUGGGAGCUGCGCGGCCAGAGCUAGAACCUGUUCUCGCCAGGCUGGUCCACUGGUGCUGAGGAAAGAUGACCACACACGCAAUUCUCCGCGGGAGUGGUGCUCUGGUUGACUGUGGCGACCGAGGGGAGAGUGACAAGCACCGCUGGGGCGGCUCCAGGGCUCCAAGGCGCGUCUUCCCCUCCGGGAUCCCAGGCUUCGGGAGCAGCCCUCGUGGCAGAGAGGCCGCCUGUAAGAGCUGGUGGACGCGUGGGAUGCCUCUUAGAACUUCUCUUGGGAUGUAACGAAUGUCGCUCUGCCUUACAUCACGUGGUCAAGGCCAGUGUCAGUGGAAUGGGGAUGGCACUCCUUCAAGAAGGUUCUGCACCUCCCGGGCAACACCCAGAGAGGCACAGUCCUCUUAGAGGGAAGAGAGAAUGGGCAGCUACGGUACGCUGCGGGUCCUGUGCUCAGCCUGAGGCCUCUCGGGUGGGCAACAGGAGGCAGCUGGGAUGGAGACGGGCUGGGGGGCCACCAGAGCUCAGAGAGCAGGCCACUCAGUAGGACUCACGGGGAAGGGCAGACCCCAGCUCCUACUGCCACGGGGCCCCGAGGAUGGAGAGCCUCCCCAUUACCGAGGGGAAGGGCCCCUGGUUCUCUAACUGCAUUACCUUCAGGAUGGAUGGGUGACAGCGAUGGAUGGGCCGCUGGAUGGACGGGGACCGGACCUCCAGGAAAACUUCCAGCCCAACACCCCCAGCCAGUGGACAGGUGCCCACCGGGUCCCCUGCAUCCUCACCCUCAAUCCCCACCCAGAGUCUUUUCUCUGGCUGGCUUUGAAGGAGGAAGCUGCCGAGAAUCUUACAGCUGCAAGGAAAUCGAUUCUGCCGAAACCAGAGG